RNAcentral lists this ribosomal RNA (239 nucleotides) under Glomus sp. Its description in RNAcentral is "partial small subunit ribosomal RNA". It matches the Rfam family "Eukaryotic small subunit ribosomal RNA", at positions 667 to 886 of the family's 1831-position model. The record is from RNAcentral. Lineage: Eukaryota; Fungi; Glomeromycota; Glomeromycetes; Glomerales; Glomeraceae.
GGAUCAAUGUUUCGGUCAUGCCGUUGGUAUGUACUGAUAUUAUUGGUUUCUCACCUUCUAAAGAACCGUAAUGCCAUUAAUUUGGUGUCACGGGGAAUUAGGACUGUUACCUUGAAAAAAUUAGAGUGUUUAAAGCAGGCUCACGCUUGAAUACAUUAGCAUGGAAUAAUGAAAUAGGACAUCCGAUUCUAUUUUGUUGGUUUCUAGGAUCGAUGUAAUGAUUAAUAGGGAUAGUUGGG